UACAGAGGUCCCAAGCGUUGUUCGGAUUCACUGGGCGUAAAGGGUGCGUAGGUGGUCAGGUAAGUCUGAUGUGAAAGCUCUGGGCUCAACCCAGAAAUGGCAUUGGAUACUAUCUGGCUAGAGGAAUGGAGGGGGGACUGGAAUACUUGGUGUAGCAGUGAAAUGCGUAGAUAUCAAGUGGAACACCAGUGGCGAAGGCGAGUCCCUGGACAUUUCCUGGCACUGAGGCACGAAAGCUAGGGGAGCAAACAGG
Molecule: ribosomal RNA, 253 nt
Filed under: uncultured bacterium
Lineage: Bacteria
Description: partial 16S ribosomal RNA
Rfam family: Bacterial small subunit ribosomal RNA
Source: RNAcentral